This 348-nucleotide ribosomal RNA is filed under the name uncultured bacterium. RNAcentral's name for it is "partial 16S ribosomal RNA". It matches the Rfam family "Bacterial small subunit ribosomal RNA", at positions 338 to 683 of the family's 1533-position model. The record is from RNAcentral.
CCUACGGGAGGCAGCAGUGAGGAAUAUUGGUCAAUGGGCGAGAGCCUGAACCAGCCAAGUCGCGUGAAGGAUGAAGGCCCUACGGGUUGUAAACUUCUUUUGUCAGGGAGCACUUGAGUCCACGUGUGGUCUUAGCGAGAGUACCUGAAGAAAAAGCUUCGGCUAACUCCGGGCCAGCAGCCGCGGUAAUACGGGGGACGCGAGCGUUAUCGGCAUUUAUGGGGGUUAAAGGGUGCGUAGGCGGAUUAUCAAGUCUGCGUUAAAAAUUUGGGGGUCAACCCCAUCGUGCCGUUGAAACUGAUGUGCUUGAGUGGGCGAGAAGUGUGAGGAAGACGGGGUGUAGCGGUG